Molecule: long non-coding RNA, 292 nt
Organism: Panicum hallii
Lineage: Eukaryota; Viridiplantae; Streptophyta; Magnoliopsida; Poales; Poaceae
Exons: 2
Source: RefSeq, a predicted model, not a curated record
UGAUACAGCUGCUAAUUAAUGUUUGGCAGCUCUUAGUUUUUUGAGCUUUGCAUCUCUGGAAGUCAAUAAGGUGGGGGCAAGCAGCCAUGAUUUUGUCCGUGUUUGUUUCGUUUGUGCAUGGUCAAUUUUGCAGGGUGAGAGCCUUGCAACUUUUUGGUUGUGACAUUUUUGUUUAUGAGAGUACUGAAACGAGAAAAUUCAGGAUAUCUCCUUUUGUAUUUCCGGUCUGCACAGUUUUUUCUGUGAGAUCUGUCAUCUUUAAGUCAGAUAAUUGUUAACUGUUUUCUUCGUA